This 1427-nucleotide long non-coding RNA is filed under the name Marmota monax (woodchuck). The record is from RNAcentral. Lineage: Eukaryota; Metazoa; Chordata; Mammalia; Rodentia; Sciuridae.
CCAGGAUUAAAAAAAUAACCUUUAGAAGAGAUUCUCAAAGCCCCCUGAAGCACUUUGACCCCUUAAGGUGACUCUGGAUUCUGAGGAGUAACCUAAGUGUCACAGCCUCUUAGUGAGAGCAAUCUGAUGGAACAUCUUGAUUUCCCUGGACUCCCAUUAAACUACGUAUCUAACCAAGAGGGAUCUGAAGGAUUGGGCUAUGACCUGAGUUUGGAAGAGAGGAUGUUAGGUUAUAACUGGCAUUUUUGAGCCAUAAAAAUUUGUAAGAAAAGUAGGUUUGUUGCAGGCAAUUGAACACACUGGAGAAUCUCUUGGACUUUCUCAAUAUUGCUAAGGUGGGUGUAUUUGUGGACUUGGUUUGGAAAACAUGGAAAAGUUACUGGCUUCAUUUAAAGCUCCAUGAACCUCCUGGGGUGUGGUAUUAGUAGAGUCUUAAUCUUAUCCUGAUAGUUUCCUAAAGAGGUUGGGUUCAAAGUUGAUCUUCACAGUCCGGGAGGGAGGUGAGCACCCUAGCUAAUCUUACGCAGGGACACUUUGUUUUACAUCUGUGUCUCUCGGUGCAUAAGCUAGUUGCCUAAAAUAUUCAUGGAAGAACUGAAAAUAAGGUUGAAAGAGAAAUGAAAACUGUCACAAAGACCCAAACUUGGAGGAAAAAAUUAAACUCAGGAGAUUUCUUGCACAGAAUUAAAUUGGGUUAAGAAUGGCCAUCUGAUUCUCUUGUGCUGUUCUGGUUAAUUUGGUCCCUAAAGAGCCAAAUGUUUGGGCAUGAGACAAACAAGAAAACAGGUCAGAACACGAGAAAGGGAAUGUUGAAACAUAAAAUUUUCAAGACUGCAUUGGGGAAGCCAAUGCAGAAGACCACUGAGCGGCAGUUAGGAAAGCCCAGGGUCAGGAAUUCUUGGUCAGCCACUACCACUAAUUGGCUCCAAGAUUCUGUGGUAUUCUAAGGGAGUCACGUAAACAUCUUUUAAAGAGCCAGGUGACCAAGCCUGUAUAUCGGUAAGCUGUUUAAUAGGGAAGAAAGGAAAGAUUUCAGAAAAGGAAAAGGAAAUAGCUUUGUAUUAGAGAGUUCGCAGUAUCAGCUUUCUGGUGAGACAUGAAUGAUAGAUGCUUGCAUAGCAUUCACAACACCUUGGGUUCAAUAAAGUUCUGACGAGAAAUGGAAGAUGAGUCAGAUAACACAGGAAAUCACUCUUAACAAAGGAAUGGUUAGAAUGCAAGUGCAGAAGGAGAGGGGUUCAGGGUCUAUCUGAAACUCUGCUUUUAGGGUUGCAAAUCAUUAGCUAGGCCAAGAUAUUGUGCAACCUUGUCAUCUUGAAGAGACCUCAGUAAAUUAAAUUUUGUACCUGUUGGUCAAAUAUGUGCAUCUGUCCAGAAAAAUGUGUGGACAAUCUGGUAUACUUAAAUAGGGUCAAGAAAUCCAGAGU